Molecule: small nuclear RNA, 106 nt
Filed under: Tupaia belangeri (northern tree shrew)
Lineage: Eukaryota; Metazoa; Chordata; Mammalia; Scandentia; Tupaiidae
Source: RNAcentral
GUGCCCACUUCGGCAGCACAUAUACAAAAUUGUAACGAUACAGAGAAGAUUCGCAUGGUCCCGGCGCAAGGUAGACAACGCAGAUCGUGAAGCAAUCCAAAAAUUU